GGCGGCGUGCUUAACACAUGCAAGUCAAGGGGGCCCGCAAGGGCAACCGGCGAACGGGUGCGUAACACGUGAGCAACCUGCCGAUCUGCGGGGGAUAGCCGGCCCAACGGCCGGGUAAUACCGCAUACGUUCUCGAGGGGGAGUCCCCUUGAGAGGAAACCUUUAUUGGGCGGAUCGAGGGGCUCGCGGCCUAUCAGCUAGUUGGCGGGGUAAUGGCCCACCAAGGCUCUGACGGGUAGCUGGUCUGAGAGGAUGGCCAGCCACAUUGGGACUGAGAAACGGCCCAGACUCCUACGGGAGGCAGCAGUGGGGAAUCUUGCGCAAUGGCCGAAAGGCUGACGCAGCGACGCCGCGUGUGGGAGGACGCCCUUCGGGGUGUAAACCACUGUUGCCCGGGACGAACAUCCUCUUUCGAGAGGACUGACGGUACCGGGUGAGGAAGCACCGGCUAACUCCGUGCCAGCAGCCGCGGUAAUACGGANGGUGCG
Molecule: ribosomal RNA, 488 nt
Filed under: uncultured bacterium
Lineage: Bacteria
Description: bacterial SSU rRNA
Rfam family: Bacterial small subunit ribosomal RNA
Source: RNAcentral